Molecule: ribosomal RNA, 254 nt
Filed under: uncultured bacterium
Lineage: Bacteria
Description: partial 16S ribosomal RNA
Rfam family: Bacterial small subunit ribosomal RNA
Source: RNAcentral
UACAGAGGUCCCAAGCGUUGUUCGGAUUCACUGGGCGUAAAGGGUGCGUAGGUGGCUACUUUAGGUUUGAUGUGAAAGCUCCGGGCUCAACCCGGAAAUGGCAUUGAAGACUAUUGAGCUAGAGGUUUGGAGGGGGGACUGGAAUGCUUGGUGUAGCAGUGAAAUGCGUAGAUAUCAAGCGGAACACCGGUGGCGAAGGCGAGUCCCUGGACAACACCUGACACUGAGGCACGAAAGCUAGGGGAGCAAACAGG